Molecule: transfer RNA, 86 nt
Filed under: uncultured marine phage
Description: tRNA-Lys
Rfam family: tRNA
About the family: Transfer RNA (tRNA) molecules are approximately 80 nucleotides in length.
Source: RNAcentral
GCGUCUAUCGCAUAGCCAGGUCGAUUGCGGGGGUCUUUUAAACCUCUCUCGAAAGAGCACAUAGGUUCGAAUCCUAUUAGACGUAC